GAUGAAGAACGUAGCGAAAUGCGAUACGUAAUGUGAAUUGCAGAAUUCAGUGAAUCAUCGAAUCUUUGAACGCAUAUUGCGCUCUCUGGUAUUCCGGAGAGCAUGCUUGUUUGAGUAUCAGUAAACACCUCAACUUCCAUAUCUUUUUUGAAAUGGGAGUUGGACUUGAGUGAUCCCAACGCUUUUCCUCACCGAAAAGUGGCGGGUUACUUGAAAUGCAGGUGCAGCUGGACUUUUCUCUGAGCUAUAAGCAUAUCUAUUUAGUCUGCCUAAAAAACAGAUUAUUACCUUUGCUGCAGCUAACAUAAAGGAGAUUAGUUCUUGUGCUGACUGAUGCGGGAUUCACAAAGACAGGCUUCGGCCGACUUUGUAAACUCGAUCUCAAAUCAAGUAAGACUACCCGCUGAACUUAAGCAUAUCAAUAAGCGGAGGA
This 433-nucleotide unclassified non-coding RNA is filed under the name soil metagenome. RNAcentral describes it as "partial contains 5.8S ribosomal RNA, internal transcribed spacer 2, and large subunit ribosomal RNA". The stretch from base 1 to 120 matches the Rfam family "5.8S ribosomal RNA", at positions 35 to 154 of the family's 154-position model. The record is from RNAcentral.